GAUGAAGAACGCAGCGAACUGCGAUAAGUAAUGUGAAUUGCAGAAUUCAGUGAAUCAUCGAGUCUUUGAACGCACAUUGCGCCCCCUGGCAUUCCGGGGGGCAUGCCUGUCCGAGCGUCAUUGCUGCCCUUCAAGCCCGGCUUGUGUGUUGGGUCGUCGUCCCCCCCGGGGGACGGGCCCGAAAGGCAGCGGCGGCACCGCGUCCGGUCCUCGAGCGUAUGGGGCUUUGUCACCCGCUCGAUUAGGGCCGGCCGGGCGCCAGCCGGCGUCUCCAACCUUCAAUUUUACCAGGUUGACCUCGGAUCAGGUAGGGAUACCCGCUGAACUUAAGCAUAUCAAUAAGCGGAGGA
This 350-nucleotide unclassified non-coding RNA is filed under the name soil metagenome. RNAcentral describes it as "partial contains 5.8S ribosomal RNA, internal transcribed spacer 2, and large subunit ribosomal RNA". The stretch from base 1 to 120 matches the Rfam family "5.8S ribosomal RNA", at positions 35 to 154 of the family's 154-position model. The record is from RNAcentral.